This 252-nucleotide ribosomal RNA is filed under the name uncultured bacterium. Its description in RNAcentral is "partial 16S ribosomal RNA". It matches the Rfam family "Bacterial small subunit ribosomal RNA", at positions 524 to 776 of the family's 1533-position model. The record is from RNAcentral.
UACGUAGGGGGCAAGCGUUGUCCGGAAUUAUUGGGCGUAAAGAGUACGUAGGCGGUCUGUUAAGCGCAAGGUGAAAGGCAUAGGCUCAACCAAUGUGAGCCUUGCGAACUGGCAGACUUGAGUGCAGGAGAGGAAAGCGGAAUUCCUAGUGUAGCGGUGAAAUGCGUAGAUAUUAGGAGGAACACCGGUGGCGAAGGCGGCUUUCUGGACUGAAACUGACGCUGAGGUACGAAAGCGUGGGGAGCAAACAGG